RNAcentral lists this ribosomal RNA (478 nucleotides) under uncultured bacterium. Its description in RNAcentral is "partial 16S ribosomal RNA". It matches the Rfam family "Bacterial small subunit ribosomal RNA", at positions 28 to 507 of the family's 1533-position model. The record is from RNAcentral.
GAUGAACGCUGGCGGCGUGCCUAACACAUGCAAGUCGAACGGAGUCCAGCCUUUAAGACCUUCUGGUCCAAGAGGGGAAGACUGAGUGGCGGACGGGUGAGUAACACGUGGGCAACCUGGCUCAUAUAGGGGGAUAACAGAUAGAAAUUUCUGCUAAUACCGCAUAAUCACACACUGCCGCAUGGCAGUGUUUGAAAAGAGAAUCGCUAUGAGAUGGACCCGCUUCUGAUUAGCCAGUUGUCAGGGUAAGAGCCUACCAAAGCGACGAUCAGUAGCCGAUCUGAGAGGAAGAACGGCCACAUUGGGACUGAGACACGGACCAAACUCCUACGGGAGGCAGCAGUGGGGGAUAUUGCAAAAUGGGGGGAAACCUGAUGAAGCGACGCCGCGUGAGUGAAGAAGUAUUUCGGUAAGUAAAGCUCUAUCAGAAGGGAAGAUAAUGACAGUACCUGAAGAAGAAGCCCCGGCUAACUACGUG